This 1126-nucleotide long non-coding RNA is filed under the name Homo sapiens (human). RNAcentral describes it as "HSALNT0149906". Lineage: Eukaryota; Metazoa; Chordata; Mammalia; Primates; Hominidae. The record is from RNAcentral.
GUGGGUCCCAUGUGAAAGUGCUGCUUUAAGGGGGCCAAGUGGAACCAACAAUGCGAUUCCCAUGCCCCUUGUGAGGGGUGGGAUGGGAGCCAUCGCAUUUGCUGGUAGCCAGUUAUAUGCUCUUUGAUUCAACCCAGUAUCUGUUGUAGAAGAGGCAAUGGCCCCUUUAAGACCCUCAUUUCAACCCUCGGAAGGCCCAAAGACAAAUUAAUACCUGUUGAUCAGUCUUCUCCAGCCAAGCUUUUUAAGAUCAGGGUCCUUUUAAGAAGAUGUUCCGCUUUGAUUGUGCCCGGCCCCUAGAGAAUCUUUUGCUUCAGAUCCUCCCGGUAAUGGGUGGUGUCUGGUCAUUCUCCCCCCACCGCUCAGAGCCCCAUAGGCGAUGUAGGAUCAGGCCCUUCAAAACAGCAAGUGUGCAGGGCAGAACAAAAUGCCCAAGUCUGGCCUCACAUUGAACUUUUCUUAAUGACUACUGAUCUACAAAACGCUGAUUAAACAAAAUUAGAAAACAAAAAAAAUGGUUUCUGUUCUGAAUUUUGCAUGAAAACGUUUUUGUUCACGUUAAUGAAGGUGGCAGAAGAAAAAAUUGCUAUGGUUUUCCACUCCUGUAAACAUAUCUGCUCUGGUUCCAAAUCUUAUCACUUCCACGGCUGGGAAGAUAACAAAGCAAUUCAGGGCCUACUAGAGAAAGUAGACUUGACAUUGGCACAAAUCUCUUUGUCAAGAGACAGAGAGGCUGAGCCUUCUCUGAGCAGUGUCUUUGAAUAUCUUAGUUGACAGUAUGAUCAAAGCAUUGCAAGACUGCCAGUUCCAAGACAACUAUGCAGUUCAGGGGGUUUGCCUCACAGACUAUGCAGGAGCCUGAGCCAAUACAAUGUGCAAGAAAGGAACUAGCUCACAAAAGCUGAAUUUAAGGCUUGCAAGACCCAGGGACGCGAUCUAGCUGCUGAGAAGUUCAGAGUCAAACCUGAAUCUCACCUCUGCAAAGAGCACAGGACUCCAUGGCAAACGUUGUAUAUACGCAAGUCAUCCCUGGCACCACAUUGAUUUACUGCACCAGGCUUUCUUCAUUGUGAUGAUGUUCUCUCUCUUUUCUAAAAAAAAAAUAAAAAUAAAAUUUAAAAAAUCC